GGGACACGUGGUAUCCUGUCUGAAUAUGGGGGGACCAUCCUCCAAGGCUAAAUACUCCUGACUGACCGAUAGUGAACCAGUACCGUGAGGGAAAGGCGAAAAGAACCCCGGCGAGGGGAGUGAAAAAGAACCUGAAACCGUGUACGUACAAGCAGUGGGAGCCUCUUUUAUGGGGUGACUGCGUACCUUUUGUAUAAUGGGUCAGCGACUUAUAUUCUGUAGCAAGGUUAACCGAAUAGGGGAGCCGAAGGGAAACCGAGUCUUAACUGGGCGUUAAGUUGCAGGGUAUAGACCCGAAACCCGGUGAUCUAGCCAUGGGCAGGUUGAAGGUUGGGUAACACUAACUGGAGGACCGAACCGACUAAUGUUGAAAAAUUAGCGGAUGACUUGUGGCUGGGGGUGAAAGGCCAAUCAAACCGGGAGAUAGCUGGUUCUCCCCGAAAGCUAUUUAGGUAGCGCCUCGUGAAUUCAUCUCCGGGGGUAGAGCACUGUUUCGGCAAGGGGGUCAUCCCGACUUACCAACCCGAUGCAAACUGCGAAUACCGGAGAAUGUUAUCACGGGAGACACACGGCGGGUGCUAACGUCCGUCGUGAAGAGGGAAACAACCCAGACCGCCAGCUAAGGUCCCAAAGUCAUGGUUAAGUGGGAAACGAUGUGGGAAGGCCCAGACAGCCAGGAUGUUGGCUUAGAAGCAGCCAUCAUUUAAAGAAAGCGUAAUAGCUCACUGGUCGAGUCGGCCUGCGCGGAAGAUGUAACGGGGCUAAACCAUGCACCGAAGCUGCGGCAGCGACGCUGAUGCGUUGUU
RNAcentral lists this ribosomal RNA (806 nucleotides) under Escherichia coli. Its description in RNAcentral is "partial 23S ribosomal RNA". It matches the Rfam family "Bacterial large subunit ribosomal RNA", at positions 419 to 1225 of the family's 2925-position model. Lineage: Bacteria; Pseudomonadati; Pseudomonadota; Gammaproteobacteria; Enterobacterales; Enterobacteriaceae. The record is from RNAcentral.